RNAcentral lists this ribosomal RNA (364 nucleotides) under uncultured bacterium. Its description in RNAcentral is "bacterial SSU rRNA". It matches the Rfam family "Bacterial small subunit ribosomal RNA", at positions 1014 to 1382 of the family's 1533-position model. The record is from RNAcentral.
UCCCGCAAGGGACGCUAGUACAGGUGGUGCAUGGCUGUCGUCAGCUCGUGUCGUGAGAUGUUGGGUUAAGUCCCGCAACGAGCGCAACCUUACCCUUAGUGUUUUCCCGAAAGGAUUACCCUCUAAGGGGACUGCCCCGGACAACGGGGAGGAAGGUGGGGAUGACGUCAAGUCCGCAUGCUCCUUACGUCUAGGGCUACACACGUCCUACAAUGGGGUCGACAGUGGGAUGCAAAGCCGCGAGGUGGAGCCAAUCCCCAAACGGCCUCUCAGUUCGGAUAGUAGUCUGCAACUCGACUACUUGAAGUCGGAAUCGCUAGUAAUGGCGGAUCAGCAUGCCGCCGUGAAUACGUUCCCGGGUCUU